Long non-coding RNA from Prunus dulcis (almond), 1155 nucleotides. RefSeq lists it as uncharacterized. The record is from RefSeq and is a predicted model, not a curated record. The transcript is spliced from 2 exons. NCBI's taxonomy places the organism in Eukaryota, Viridiplantae, Streptophyta, Magnoliopsida, Rosales, Rosaceae.
CCCAAGUGUGGUGUCAUUUCCACCCGACAGUUACAGGGAGAUGGAGAUGGAGAUUCUUCUCCCCGAAUCUCUCAGUAAUCUCUCAAUUGUGGGCUUCCCAAAUCUGAAGAAACUGAGCAGCAAGGGCUUUCAAUUCCUCACCUCUCUUCAAUCUCUUCGACUCUGGGAUUGUCCAAAGCUGGCAUCUAUUCCAGUGGAGGGGUUGCCUAUUUCACUGAGGGAACUUGAAAUCAUUAGGUGUCCUCUGCUAAAAGAUAAAUGCCAGCCUGGAAGUAAAGGACGAUACCUGCCCAAAAUAUCCCACAUCCCCUGCAUAGAGAUAUGGGAUUAGAAGACGGUUUGAAGAUGAUGAGAACCCACACCGACACAUGGACAUGGUCAACUCCGACUCUCACUCUCCCCAGGUACUUCAAAUUUCAAACAUUAUCAACACUUUCCCUGUACUCUUUAUGAACUUGGUUUCUCAUCCAUAAGAAUAAAUACAUGAAGUGCAUUUAAGAAAGAUUAGAUCAAAAAAUUCACAUCACUUCAAGAUGACCGUCUCCCAUCCUGACUGGGGAUUUCCCAACCUCCCAUUCUGAAUUGGCAGGAACGCUUUCAAUAUUCAGAUGCUAUAUACAGCUUACGGAAGCAGAUGUCGUGUUAUGCCAGAAUAGUCAUCAAACUCCCAUCCCUUCAAGCUUCUCAAGAAACCGCUGCAGGGGAAUAGUAAACUCGUAUGGCUCAUGCUCUUUUUCUCUCCAGAUGUUUUGCUUGCUCCUUGAUUCGAGUGUGACGCCUACAAUGGUAUUGUCCUCUUUGCAAAAAGAGUUGAAACCAUCCAUUGCUACUUUCAGCAGCAAUGGGAGUUAAAUAGGCCCAAACUCAAAUUUUCAAGAGCAGAAUCCUCUUCCUUUGCAGCAGUAGGUGACAGUGGUGCAAAAAGGACUCAAAGGAAGAUAUUUAUGAUGGAGUUUCGACAGUUCUUUGGACAACCAUUUGCUUUAAAUAUUCUGCCGAUCAGAGCAAGAAGGAUUGUUUUAUUGGGUCAUGUCAAUUCACUAGGCAUUUGUAAACAGUGAGAAGGAACAGCAAACAACGAAAGUUUUUUUAUACAAAUUUUACAAAGGAUAAUCUAUUCUAAAUUGAUAUAAUCAAUGGAGAGGGGAAUUUGAA